GCCCUGGUGACAUAACACUUAAGCGCUUGGCUGCUAACCAAAAGGUUGGUGGUUCGAACCCACCCUGUGGCA
RNAcentral lists this transfer RNA (72 nucleotides) under Loxodonta africana (African savanna elephant). It matches the Rfam family "tRNA". From Rfam's summary of the family: Transfer RNA (tRNA) molecules are approximately 80 nucleotides in length. Lineage: Eukaryota; Metazoa; Chordata; Mammalia; Proboscidea; Elephantidae. The record is from Rfam by way of RNAcentral.